CGUACCGAUAACCGCAUCAGGUCUCCAAGGUGAGUAGCUUCUGGCCAUUGAGUAAUGGUAAUUUAGGGAAUUCGGCCAAUUAGAGCUGUAACUUCGGGAUAAAGCUUGGCUCUGAUGGAAAUCAGAACCGAUAGUUACAAGGAGAGCCCAACUGUUUAAUAAAAACUUAGUGUCGCGUCAUACCUUUAUAAGUAAUAAACGUGACAUGAAUCCUGCUCAGUGCUGUGUUUGUUAAACUGGAUUAAUCCAUUUAAGCGCCGGUAAAUAGCUGGGGUAACUAUGACUCUUAUCAAAGUAGCGAAAUACCUCGUCACUUAAUUAGUGACCUGCAUGAACGGAGCUAUGAGGUUCUCACUGUCCCAAAUUAUCACUCAGCGAACCAACAGUUGUGGGAACGGGCACAAAUUAUCCAGCGGGGAAAGAAGACCCUGUAGAGCUUCACUUUGGUCUAAUCUUGUAUAGUUUCGUUAGGGGUGCAGUCUAGGUGGGAGAUUUUUAAUCAAAUAUGAGAAACCACUACCCUUUCUGGAAUUAUACUUACUAAAAUUCUUUUCUAAAUUUUAGGAUCGGAUUAGAUAGAAAGUUUGGCUGGGGCGGCACACCUUCGAAAAAGCAGCGAAGGUGUCCUAAGUUAAGCUCAGUAAGGACAGAAAUCUUACGUUGAGGAUAAGGCCAAAAGCUUAAUUUACUGUGCCUUUUUGUACUAGGAUCAGUUUGGAAACAAAGGCCUAACGAUCCCUAAUUAGUCUUAGGUGUGUAAGACUUGGGGUGACAGACAAGUUACCUCCGGGACAACUGGCUUGUGGCUGCUAAGAGAUCAAAUCAACGCAGCUUUUUGAUUCUUCGAUGUCGGCUCUUCCUAUCCUAGUGAUGUACAAGUCACUAAGGGUUGGAUUGUUCACCCGUAUUAGGGAUCGUGAGCUGGGUUUAGACCGUCGUGAGCCAGGUUUGUUUUAUCCUACUGGAUAUAAUUUAGCAUCUUGAUAGUAGUUUGAUUUAGUACGAGAGGAACUGUUGAAUAUGGUCUCUGGUUUGGGAAUUUUAUGAAAAUAAAAGUUCCAAAGCUACGCCGUCUGAGAUAAUGGCUGAAGGCCUCUUAAGCCAGAAACUCAUCUAAAAAUAGAUGCUUUAAACUAUUUA
RNAcentral lists this ribosomal RNA (1140 nucleotides) under human gut metagenome. RNAcentral's name for it is "eukaryotic LSU rRNA". It matches the Rfam family "Eukaryotic large subunit ribosomal RNA", at positions 1843 to 3173 of the family's 3401-position model. The record is from RNAcentral.